RNAcentral lists this ribosomal RNA (193 nucleotides) under Paenibacillus polymyxa. Its description in RNAcentral is "partial 16S ribosomal RNA". It matches the Rfam family "Bacterial small subunit ribosomal RNA", at positions 1 to 186 of the family's 1533-position model. Lineage: Bacteria; Bacillati; Bacillota; Bacilli; Caryophanales; Paenibacillaceae. The record is from RNAcentral.
UUAUUGGAGAGUUUGAUCCUGGCUCAGGACGAACGCUGGCGGCAUGCCUAAUACAUGCAAGUCGAGCGGACUUGAAGAGAAGCUUGCUUCUCUGAUAGUUAGCGGCGGACGGGUGAGUAACACGUAGGCAACCUGCCCUCAAGUUUGGGACAACUACCGGAAACGGUAGCUAAUACCGAAUAGUUGUUUUCUU